AGAGUUUGAUCCUGGCUCAGGAUGAACGCUAGCUACAGGCUUAACACAUGCAAGUCGAGGGGAAACGAUAGAGAAAGCUUGCUUUUUCUAGGCGUCGACCGGCGCACGGGUGAGUAACGCGUAUCCAACCUGCCCACCACUUGGGGAUAACCUUGCGAAAGUAAGACUAAUACCCAAUGAUAUCUCUAGAAGACAUCUGAAGGAGAUUAAAGAUUUAUCGGUGAUGGAUGGGGAUGCGUCUGAUUAGCUUGUUGGCGGGGUAACGGCCCACCAAGGCAACGAUCGGUAGGGGUUCUGAGAGGAAGGUCCCCCACAUUGGAACUGAGACACGGUCCAAACUCCUACGGGAGGCAGCAGUGAGGAAUAUUGGUCAAUGGGCGAGAGCCUGAACCAGCCAAGUAGCGUGCAGGAUGACGGCCCUAUGGGUUGUAAACUGCUUUUAUAAGGGAAUAAAGUGGGAGUCGUGACUCUUUUUGCAUGUACCUUAUGAAUAAGGACCGGCUAAUUCCGUGCCAGCAGCCGCGGUAAUACGGAAGGUCCGGGCGUUAUCCGGAUUUAUUGGGUUUAAAGGGAGCGUAGGCCGCAGGUUAAGCGUGUUGUGAAAUGUAGGGGCUCAACCUCUGCACUGCAGCGCGAACUGGCUUGCUUGAGUACGCACAACGUGGGCGGAAUUCGUGGUGUAGCGGUGAAAUGCUUAGAUAUCACGAAGAACUCCGAUUGCGAAGGCAGCUCACGGGAGCGCAACUGACGCUGAAGCUCGAAAGUGCGGGUAUCGAACAGGAUUAGAUACCCUGGUAGUCCGCACGGUAAACGAU
RNAcentral lists this ribosomal RNA (815 nucleotides) under uncultured bacterium. RNAcentral describes it as "bacterial SSU rRNA". It matches the Rfam family "Bacterial small subunit ribosomal RNA", at positions 8 to 810 of the family's 1533-position model. The record is from RNAcentral.